GGGCCCGCACAAGCAGCGGAGCAUGUGGUUUAAUUGGAUGCGACGCCAAGAACCUUACCAAGGCUUGACAUGGUCGGGAAAGCUGGAGAAAUUCAGCCCUCCUUCGGGACUCGAUCACAGGUGGUGCA
Molecule: ribosomal RNA, 128 nt
Filed under: uncultured bacterium
Lineage: Bacteria
Description: partial 16S ribosomal RNA
Rfam family: Bacterial small subunit ribosomal RNA
Source: RNAcentral